GCGACCCAGGUCAGGCGGCAUUACCCGCUGAGUGUAAGCAUAUCAAUAAGCGGAGGAAAAGAAACUUACAAGGAUUCCCCUAAUAACGGCGAGCAAACCGGGAACAACCCAGCCUCAGAAUCAGGCGUCUUUGUUGUCCGAAUUGUAGUUUGGAGAAGCGUCUUCAGCGGCGGAUCGGGCCCAUGUCACCUGGAAGGGGGGGCCGGACAAGGUGAGAUCCCUGUCGUGCCCGGACCAUGUCGCACCACGAGGCUCUGUCUACGAGUUGGGUUGUUUUGGAAUGCAGCCUAAAUCGGAGGGUGAAUUCCGUCCAAUGCUAAAUACUUGCGAGAGACCGAUAGCGAACAACUACCGCAAGGGAAAGAUGAAAAGGAAUUUGAAAAGAGAGUCAAAGAGUUCUUGAAAUUAUCGGGAGGGAAGCGGAUGGAGGCCGGUGAUGCGCCACGAUCGGAUGUGGAACGGUGACGAGCCGGUCUGUCGAUCGUCUCGGGGCGUGGACCAACGUGGAUUGGGGGAAGGACAAAGCUCGGGCUCUCGAUACGACCAUGGAACGCCGUCUCCCCGAUUGUGGAAGGCAGUGUGCGCCUCCGGCGUGCUUCGGCAUCUGCGCGCUCCGGACGCUGGCUUGUGGGCUCCCUAUUUGACCCGUCUUGGAACACGGACCAAGGAAUCUGACAUGUGUGCGAGUCAACGGUCGAGUAAACCCGUAAGGCGUAAGGAAGCUGAUUGAUUGGAUCCCCCUGAGGGGUGCACCGCCGGCCGACCCUGAUCUUCUGAGAAGGGUUCGACUGUUAGCAUACCUGUCGGGACCCGAAAGAUGGUGAACUAUGCCUGAGCGGGGUAAAGCCAGAGGAAACUCUGGUGGAGGCCCGCAGCCAUACUGACGUGCAAAUCGAUCGUCUGACUUUGGUAUAGGGGCGAAAGACUAAUCGAACCGUAUAAUAGCUGGUUCCGUCUAAAGUUUCCUUGAGUAUAGCUGGAGCUCGCAUGCGAGUUCUAUCGGGUAAAGCCAAUGAUUAGAGGCCUUGGAGGCGUAACGCCCUCGACCUAUUCUCAAACUUUAAAUAGGUAGGAUGAUGCGACUGCUUUGUUGAGUCGCGCCACGGAAUCAAGAGCUCCAAGUGCGCUAUUUUUGGUAAGCAGAAUUUGUGAUGCAGGAUGAAUUGGAAGCCGGGUUAUGGUGCCAAACUACGCGCUAACCAAGAUCCCACAAAGGGUGUAGGUCAAUUAAGACAGCAGGACGGUGGUCAUGGAAGUCGAAAUCCGCUAAGGAGUGUGUAACAACUCGCCUGCCGAAUCAACUAGCCACGAAAAUGGAUGGAGCUUAAGCGCGCGAUCUACACCUGAUCGUCAGGGCAAGUGCCAGGCCCCGAUGAGUAGGAGGGCGCGGAGGGUCUGCCGUCGUCGGGCGUGGCAUGCCAUUAUAGCCCUUGGAUAGCACACACGGUCGGACAACGUCGGACGUGGCAUGCCAUCAUCGCCUUUGGACUAGCUGACACGGUCGGAUGAUAUCGGGCAUCGCAUGCCAUCAUUGCCUUUGGACUAGCUGACACGGUCGGGCGACGCCGGGCGUGGCAUGCCAUCUUCGCCCUUGGGCAGCACAGAUGGUAAGACUGCGUCGGGCGUGGCUUGCCAUCAUCGCCCUUGGACAGCACAGACGGUCGGCCGUCGUCGGGCGUGGCAUGCCAUCAUAUCCCUUGGAAAGCACAAAUGGUCGGCCAUCGUCGGACGUGCCUGCACACAAUGGUCAGCCGUGGCCUGCCAGCAUCGGUCUUGGCUUGCGCGACAUUGUUUGAGUUCUAAACGAUAGAUGCAGAUGUUCAUGUCGUACAUAAAUCAAAGGAUUUCAAUACAACCUCCAUGAAUAACAAACAUAUUCAUCGACUUUCCAUUAUCUAUUCUCUAACGUUUCCACCAAACGUGGCUCUUUUGCAUCAUUUUUAUUACUUUUAUAGUUCGUAUGAUAUUGAAACAUCUUUUAUUUGUGCAAAUUUAUAUUUUAUCAUUAAUUUGACAUGUUUAGAAGUGUUUUCGAGCAUUUCUAUAUUUUUCCGACAUUUAAUCAUUAUUUUAUAAUUUUUUUUUACGCUUUUUAAUUUUUUACGUCUCCUUUUAAAAACUAAAAUAUAUUAAAUUUUUUAUUUUAAGGUUCCCAUAUUUAUUUGUGAACUUUCGGAGUUGAUUUCAUAUUUUUUCUGAAAUUUUCCCUAUUUUUUAUUAAUUUAUUACUAAUUUUUCAGAAUUUUCAAAAAAAAUAAAAAUUAAAAAUAAUAUUGAAAAAUAUUUUUUUUAUAUAUAUUGAAGUCAUUUAUGAAAGCUAAUGUGUGUUUCUACCUUUGAACGUGCAUAUUUGGGUUGUACAUUUCCAUUAUGAUUUUCUGGAAAAUCCAUGUCUACUCCUGUCACAUGGGUAAAACUUUUUUAAGCAUAUAUAAGGGGGGUAGAGGUGUUGGAGGCAGACUGAGGCGCAGGCAGGCAGACGGCAUAGGCAUCCUGUGGAAUUAGUAGGCGUGUUGCGUGGGCGCUUGCUGGCAUGCAUGGCUUGUUCGUGCUACAUUGUUGGGCAUUUACAAAAACACGUCGGCGAUGUCUACGGGUCAAGUGAGGCAAAGGCAGGAGUACGUCAAGGGCGUCCUAUUGGCUUAGUAGGAGUACUGCGUGGGUGCUUGAUGCAAUGCAUGGCUCGUCCGUGCUACGCCGUUGGGCAUCUACAAAAAUGUGCUAGCGACGUUUGCGGGGCGGUUGCGGUGAAGGACGGCGAACGUCAAGGGCGUCCUGUGGGCUUAGUAGGCGCGCUGCGUGGGCGCUUGAUGGCAUGCAUGGCUCGUCCGUGCUACGCCAUUUGGAGUUUACAAAAUGAGCCCGCAACGUCUGCGAGGCAUUUGAGGCGGUGGCAGGUGGACAUGGGCGUCCUAUGGGCUUAGUAGGUGUGCUGCACGGGCGCUUGACGGCAUGCAUGGUUUGUCCGUGCUACGCCGUUGGGUGUCAACAAAAACAUGCCAGCGACGUCUGCAGGGCAACUGAGGCAAAAGCAGGCAGACAUCAAGGGCGUCAUGUGGGCUUAGUAGGCGUGUUGCGUGGGCGCUUGACGACAUGCAUGGCUCGUCCGUGCUAUGCCUUUGGGCGCUUACAAAAACAUGCCAGCGACGUCUGCGGGGCGACCGUGCGCUGCCGAGGGAACUUCUCAAGAUCCGUUUAUAAUGGCGUUUGGUGUGGAAACGGCAGUGCUUUUUGCGAGUGGUGAGUUCUAGAGCUCCUGUUACGGCUAACUCUAGGGGCCACAUGCACCGCACGUAAGGCCAUGUACGGCUAGGGGCCUAUCCUGAGAUGUCGGCGGGAGCCUCGGGAAGAGUUAUCUUUUAUAUUUAACAGCCUUCCCACCCUGGAAUCGGCUCACCCUGAGGUAGGGUCCAGCGGCUCGAAGAGCACCGCACAUCGUGUGGUGUCCGGUGCUCUCACGGCGGCCCUUGAAAAUCUGGAGGACCGAAUGCCGUCCAUGCCCGAUCGUACUCAUAACCGCAUCAGGUCUCCAAGGUGAACAACCUCUGGUCGAUUGAACAAUGUAGGCAAGGGAAGUUGGCAAAAUUGAUCCGUACCUUUGGGAAAAGGAUUGGCUUGGAGGGCUGUGCACGGGGAUCCAAGUCCCAAACCCGUCGGCUGUCGGUGGACUGCUCGAGCUGCUCCCACGGCGAGAGCGUGUUGCCGCGUGCCGGACGGGGGAAGGACUAGGAACGGUUCCUUCGGGGGCCUUCUUCGGGUGUCGAACAAACAACUCAGAACUUGUACGGACAAGGGGAAUCCGACUGUUUAAUUUAAACAAAGCAUUGCGAUGGUCGCAACGGAUGUUUACGCAAUGUGAUUUCUGCACAGUGCUCUGAAUGUCAAAGUGAAGAAAUUCAACCAAGCGCGGGUAAACGGCAGGAGUAACUAUGACUCUCUUAAGGUAGCCAAAUGCCUCGUAAUCUAAUUAGUGACGUGCAUGAAUGGAUUAACGAGAUUCCCACUGUCCCUGUCUACUAUCCAGCGAAACCACAGCCAAGCGAACGGGCUUAGAAGAAUCAGCGGGGAAAGAAGACCCUGUUGAGCUUGACUCUAGUCCGACUUUAUCAAAUGACUUGAGAGGUGUAAUAUAAGUGGGAGUCGAAAGGCGAAAGUGAAAUACCACUACUUUAAACGUUAUUUUACUUAUUCCGUGAAUCGGAAGUGGGGCACUGCCCCUCUUUUUGGACCAAAGGCUCACUUCGCGGGCCGAUCCGUGCAGAAGACAUUGUCAGGUGGGGAGUUUCGCUUGGGCGGCACAUCUUUUAAAAGAUAACGCAGGUGUCCUAAGAUGAGCUCAACGAGAACAGAAAUCUCAUGUGGUAAAGAAGGGUAAAAGCUUGUUUGAUUUUUAUUUCCAUUACGAAUACGAACCGUCUAAGCAUGGCCUAACGAUCCUUUAGACCUUUGGAAUUCAAAGCUAGAAGUGUCAGAAAAGUUACCACUAGGAUAACUGUCUUGUGGCAGAAAAGCGUUCAUAGCGACAUUGCUUUUUGAUCCUUCGAUGUCGGCUCUUCCUAUCAUUGUGAAGCAGAAUUCACCAAGUGUUGGAUUGUUCACUCACCAAUAGGAAACGUGAGCUGGGUUUAGACCGUCGUGAGACAUGUGAGUUUUACCCUACUGAUGGCAGUGUCGUAAUAGUAAUUCAACCUAGUACGAGAGGAAACGUUGAUUCACACAAUUGGCCAUCGCACUUGGUUGAAAAGCCAGUGGUGCGAAGCUACCGUGUGCUGGAUUAUGAUUGAACGCCUCUAAGUCAGAAUCCGGGCUAGAAACGACACAUGCACACGACGUCCGCUUUCCGAACCGCAGUAGGGGCCUAUGGCCUCCAAGGGCACGUAUCGUUGGCUAAGUCGCUGCGAUGGAAGCAUCGCGGUGACCGCCUUAAAGUACAAUUUCCAUCGAGAGGCGGGUAGAAUCCUUUGUAGACGACUAAAAUACACGACGGGGUUUAUUAAGUGGCAGAGUGGCCUUGCUGCCACGAUCCACUGAGAUUCAGCCCUUUGUUGCUCCGAUUCGU
Molecule: ribosomal RNA, 5059 nt
Filed under: Solanum lycopersicum (tomato)
Lineage: Eukaryota; Viridiplantae; Streptophyta; Magnoliopsida; Solanales; Solanaceae
Description: Eukaryotic large subunit ribosomal RNA
Rfam family: Eukaryotic large subunit ribosomal RNA
Source: Rfam by way of RNAcentral